Molecule: unclassified non-coding RNA, 197 nt
Filed under: uncultured Strelitziana
Lineage: Eukaryota; Fungi; Ascomycota; Eurotiomycetes; Chaetothyriales
Description: sequence contains ITS1
Source: RNAcentral
CCGAGUUAGGGUUGCCUUCUAGGUGCCCGACCUCCCAACCCUUUGUCUAUGAUACCACAGUUGCUUCGGCGGACCGAGGGGUCAUACCCUCGCCUGGUCGACCUGGCCGGGAGAGUUUGUCCGUCGACGGCCUCAACUUAACACUUGAACCCAAAACCUGUCGUCUGAAAACAUUUUAUGAUUUACAAUCAAAAACA